CUUGUCUACAAUGUCCGAGAGGUUUUAUUUUGACAGUAAUAAGACACUUUUAUGGACGAUGCUUUUGUCGUUAUCGUAGUCCACUACGAUUUGUCUAUUGAUGAUUUUUUUCUAAUUUUUAUAAUUUACGAGAAAAUCUAGAAUUGUCAGGUUCCUCUUGAACUGUUUCUACAGAUAAAACUCCAAGUUGCAAACAUGCAGCACAUGUUAGUGUUCUCUUAGCAAGUGCUUAUAUUGAGCGCAGGGUAGCAUAAAGAAAUAUAUCUAACAUCUGGAUUUAAGUUUUUGAGCAAUACAAAUUUACUGACUGCAUUCUAAUCUUAGUGUUCUGUUAUCUGUGUUGAAGAUUUUUCGGGUUAGACGAUGGUAUUAUUGUUGUCCAUAUUUUUUGUAUUUAUUUUUUUUAAAGUGGAAUUGUUCUGUCUGAUAAAUAUCAUGUAAUUAUGUUGUAGAUCUUAUAUGUUGUUGGAUGAAUGUUUUGAUUAUGUUGUUAUGCGUACCCCUCUUUUUCAAAUAGUAUUUAACAUACUGCAGCUCCAAAGGAGUGGAACAUAAAAGAUAAAUGUUUUUUGACUGGUUUUGUUUACAGAAGUUGGGAUGCUAAUAUUGAUAGUCACUGUUGCUAAAACAUGUGUCGAAAUAUUUGUAAAUAAGUAUUCCAAAUUGUUUACUGUGUAAAUACAUUUUCCUUGGGAUAGAAGAU
This 703-nucleotide long non-coding RNA is filed under the name Mytilus galloprovincialis (Mediterranean mussel). Lineage: Eukaryota; Metazoa; Mollusca; Bivalvia; Mytilida; Mytilidae. The record is from RNAcentral.